Molecule: ribosomal RNA, 253 nt
Filed under: uncultured bacterium
Lineage: Bacteria
Description: partial 16S ribosomal RNA
Rfam family: Bacterial small subunit ribosomal RNA
Source: RNAcentral
UACGGGGGGGGUAAGCGUUGUUCGGAAUUACUGGGCGUAAAGGGCUCGUAGGCGGCCAACUAAGUCAUACGUGAAAUCCCUCAGCUUAACUGGGGAACUGCGUGUGAUACUGGAUGGCUUGGAUUUGGGAGAGGGAUGCGGAAUUCCAGGUGUAGCGGUGAAAUGCGUAGAUAUCUGGAGGAACACCGGUGGCGAAGGCGGCAUCCUGGACCGGUAUUGACGCUGAGGAGCGAAAGCAUGGGGAGCGAACAGG